Molecule: unclassified non-coding RNA, 173 nt
Filed under: Malassezia globosa
Lineage: Eukaryota; Fungi; Basidiomycota; Malasseziomycetes; Malasseziales; Malasseziaceae
Description: partial internal transcribed spacer region
Rfam family: Eukaryotic small subunit ribosomal RNA (bases 1-46)
Source: RNAcentral
AAGUCGUAACAAGGUUUCUGUAGGUGAACCUGCAGAAGGAUCAUUAGUGAAGAUUCAAGGGCCAGCCAUACAGACGUACAAUAAGUGUGUCUCUGGCGGCUCGCAUCCACUAUACAUCCAUAAACCCGUGUGCAAUGAAAAAACAACUUUUGACAACGGAUCUCUUGGCUCUC